GGAUGUGAGGGGGAUCUGGCUGCGACAUCUGUCACCCUAUUGAUCUGUUGAUUGCCAGGGUUGAUUUGGCUGAUCUGGCUGGCUAGGCGGGUGUCGCCUUCCUUCCUCACCGCUCCAUGAGCGUCCCUUCAGAAGGUGCGUGCUCAGUGGAAGAGGACAGCCUUCCCCAAUAGAGACGGACUGGUCGAGGGUAUACGAGUAGCUGCGCUCCCCUGCUAAAACCUCCAAACAAGCUCACAAAGUGGGGAAAAUGGCCUCCAGGAGCAGUGGAUUCAUAGUGCAGGCACUGAGCCCCAGCAAUAACCCUGGAGGCAAAAAAAAAAAUAGAUUU
This is a non-coding RNA of Erinaceus europaeus (western European hedgehog), 331 nucleotides long. The record is from Rfam. NCBI's taxonomy places the organism in Eukaryota, Metazoa, Chordata, Mammalia, Eulipotyphla, Erinaceidae.